AAGACUAUGCUUCACAGGAUCCUUCCUGUAGGCAAGUUUUCACAAGUUUUUACCGAAAGAAAAAGCUUUCCCACCCACGAUGAUGAGACAAUAAAAAAACGUUGA
RNAcentral lists this small nucleolar RNA (105 nucleotides) under Aedes aegypti (yellow fever mosquito). RNAcentral describes it as "snoRNA AAEL019322". It matches the Rfam family "Small nucleolar RNA U3", at positions 1 to 108 of the family's 219-position model. Rfam says of the family: Small nucleolar RNAs (snoRNAs) are involved in the processing and modification of rRNA in the nucleolus. There are two main classes of snoRNAs: the box C/D class, and the box H/ACA class. U3 snoRNA is a member of the box C/D class. The record is from Rfam by way of RNAcentral. Lineage: Eukaryota; Metazoa; Arthropoda; Insecta; Diptera; Culicidae.